AGGGUUUGAUCAUGGCUCAGAUUGAACGCUGGCGGUAACUUUUAAACAUGCAAGUCGAGCGGUAACAGACAUAAAGAUUCAGCUUGCUGAAUCCGGUGCUGACGAGCGGCGAACGGGUGAGUAACGCGUAGGAAUCUACCCAGUAGCGGGGGAUAGCCCGAGGAAACUCGGAUUAAUACCGCAUACGCCCUGAGGGGGAAAGGGGGCAGUUUACUGCUCUCACUAUUGGAUGAGCCUGCGUAAGAUUAGCUUGUUGGUAGGGUAAUGGCCUACCAAGGCAACGAUCUUUAGCUGGUCUGAGAGGACGAUCAGCCACAUUGGGACUGAGACACGGCCCAGACAUCUACGGAUGGCAGCAGUUAGGAAUAUUGGACAAUGGGGGCAACCCUGGUCCAGGUAUACCGCGUGUGUGAAGAAGGCCCUAGGGUUGUAAAGCACUUUAAUCAGAGAAGAAGCAUUUUAAGUUAAUACCUUAUUAUGUUGACGUUACCUGAAGAAUAAGGACCGGCUAACUCCGUGCCAGCCGCCGCGGUAAUAC
RNAcentral lists this ribosomal RNA (538 nucleotides) under uncultured bacterium. RNAcentral describes it as "bacterial SSU rRNA". It matches the Rfam family "Bacterial small subunit ribosomal RNA", at positions 8 to 526 of the family's 1533-position model. The record is from RNAcentral.